ACCGGCGCACGGGUGCGUAACGCGUAUGCAAUCUACCUUAUACAGGGGGAUAGCCCAGAGAAAUUUGGAUUAAUACCCCAUAGUAUCUUCGAAUGGCAUCAUUUGAUUAUUAAAGUUCCAACGGUAUAAGAUGAGCAUGCGUCCCAUUAGCUAGAUGGUAAGGUAACGGCUUACCAUGGCAACGAUGGGUAGGGGUCCUGAGAGGGAGAUCCCCCACACUGGUACUGAGACACGGACCAGACUCCUACGGGAGGCAGCAGUGAGGAAUAUUGGUCAAUGGGCGCAAGCCUGAACCAGCCAUGCCGCGUGCAGGAUGACGGUCCUAUGGAUUGUAAACUGCUUUUGUACAGGAAGAAACACUCCCUCGUGAGGGAGCUUGACGGUACUGUAAGAAUAAGGAUCGGCUAACUCCGUGCCAGCAGCCGCGGUAAUACGGAGGAUCCAAGCGUUAUCCGGAAUCAUUGGGUUUAAAGGGUCCGUAGGCGGUUUUAUAAGUCAGUGGUGAAAUCUGGUCGCUCAACGAUCAAACGGCCAUUGAUACUGUAGAACUUGAAUUACUUGGAAGUAACUAGAAUAUGUAGUGUAGCGGUGAAAUGCUUAGAGAUUACAUGGAAUACCAAUUGCGAAGGCAGGUUACUACGAGUUAAUUGACGCUGAUGGACGAAAGCGUGGGGAGCGAACAGGAUUAGAUACCCUGGUA
Molecule: ribosomal RNA, 700 nt
Filed under: uncultured bacterium
Lineage: Bacteria
Description: bacterial SSU rRNA
Rfam family: Bacterial small subunit ribosomal RNA
Source: RNAcentral